Molecule: ribosomal RNA, 373 nt
Filed under: Excirolana braziliensis
Lineage: Eukaryota; Metazoa; Arthropoda; Malacostraca; Isopoda; Cirolanidae
Description: partial 16S ribosomal RNA
Rfam family: Bacterial large subunit ribosomal RNA (bases 42-373)
Source: RNAcentral
CUGACGGGGAAACCCUAAAUCAUCCUUGUCCAAUGAACCUUAAAUUAAGGUAAAAAUGCCUCAAUAAACUAGGAGGACGACAAGACCCUAUAAAACUUUACCACAUCUAUUUAAACCCAAAGAGUACAGUUAUUAAAAAUACUAGUGGUUAGCUGGGGCGGCUAUCCCCCUCCGGGGGUUAUCUUAACACCUUGAGUGACCCCUCGAACCCUUUUCAGUAGAAAGACCAAGUUACUUUAGGGAUAACAGCGUAAUUGUUUCGUAGAGCCCCUAUCGAUGAAACAGUUUACGACCUCGAUGUUGAAUUGGAGGCCCUUCUGGGAGCAGCCCCCCACGAAAGGAAGUCUGUUCGACUUUUAAUUCUCCACAUGAU